Molecule: small nuclear RNA, 104 nt
Organism: Jaculus jaculus (lesser Egyptian jerboa)
Lineage: Eukaryota; Metazoa; Chordata; Mammalia; Rodentia; Dipodidae
Source: Ensembl
GUGCUUGCUUUGGCAGCACAUAUACUAAAAUUGGAACAAUACAGAGAUUAUCAUGGCCCCUGUGCAAGGAUGACAUGCAAAUUCAUGAAGCGUUCUAUAUUUUU